This 67-nucleotide transfer RNA is filed under the name Pheidole fervens. RNAcentral describes it as "tRNA-Met". Lineage: Eukaryota; Metazoa; Arthropoda; Insecta; Hymenoptera; Formicidae. The record is from RNAcentral.
AAAUAAGUAAGCUAACUUUUAAGCUUUUAGGUUCAUACCCUAACUAUAGACUCUCUUCUCUUAUUUA